GGGGGGCGAAUCUCCUGUGACACCGGUAGAGUUCUAUUGGAAUAAACUGCGUCUCACUGAAUUAUCAUACUGAGUUACUGACCAAAUUUUCUUUAAUAUAACCAUGAUAUGUCAAUUCCAGCGUUCAUAAACUCUUUUCUGUCACAUUGUCUCAGUUCAUUCGAUGUCCGUAAUUCUUUACAGCUCCGCACCAAGUCAAAUUUUCAAAUUUUCUUUCUCGGUAACAAGACAUUGCUCUUUGUUGGGAUAUUUGUCAAAGUGAACUCCCUUAUCACAUUGACCUUUGUUCUGAGUGUUCGUUGUUGACAUAUGAUUGGUCAGUUGAUCUUUCAUUCGGUUUUACACAUGCCCAGAGAAACAUUUGAACUUUGGACUAUUGGAUAUCGCCUUUUUGUGGCUGUUGACAAGCUUAUCCUGUUACUAUGAGAUUAUAACUAGGUUUGAAGGUGACAAACGUG
Paramuricea clavata is the source of this 458-nucleotide non-coding RNA. Lineage: Eukaryota; Metazoa; Cnidaria; Anthozoa; Malacalcyonacea; Plexauridae. The record is from the annotation of a GenBank genome assembly.